GAUGAACGCUGGCGGCGUGCCUAAUACAUGCAAGUCGAGCGAACAGACGAGGAGCUUGCUCCUCUGACGUUAGCGGCGGACGGGUGAGUAACACGUGGAUAACCUACCUAUAAGACUGGGAUAACUUCGGGAAACCGGAGCUAAUACCGGAUAAUAUAUUGAACCGCAUGGUUCAAUAGUGAAAGACGGUUUUGCUGUCACUUAUAGAUAGAUCCGCGCCGCAUUAGCUAGUUGGUAAGGUAACGGCUUACCAAGGCAACGAUGCGUAGCCGACCUGAGAGGGUGAUCGGCCACACUGGAACUGAGACACGGUCCAGACCCCUACGGGAGGCAGCAGUAGGGAAUCUUCCGCAAUGGGCGAAAGCCUGACGGAGCAACGCCGCGUGAGUGAUGAAGGUCUUCGGAUCGUAAAACUCUGUUAUUAGGGAAGAACAAAUGUGUAAGUAACUAUGCACGUCUUGACGGUACCUAAUCAGAAAGCCACGGCUAACUACGUG
This 497-nucleotide ribosomal RNA is filed under the name uncultured bacterium. Its description in RNAcentral is "partial 16S ribosomal RNA". It matches the Rfam family "Bacterial small subunit ribosomal RNA", at positions 28 to 507 of the family's 1533-position model. The record is from RNAcentral.